UGGGGAAUAUUGCACAAUGGGGGAAACCCUGAUGCAGCGACGCCGCGUGAGCGAUGAAGGCUUUCGAGUCGUAAAGCUCUGUCCUAUGGGAAGAUAAUGACGGUACCAUAGAAGAAAGCCCCGGCUAAUUACGUGCCAGCAGCCGCGGUAAUACGUAAGGGGCGAGCGUUGUCCGGAAUUAUUGGGCGUAACGAGUGCGUAGGCGGCAAAUUAAGUCAGAUGUGAAAACUAAGGGCUCAACCCAUAGAUUGCAUCUGAAACUGAUAUGCUUGAGUCAAGGAGAGGAAAGUGGAAUUACUAGUGUAGCGGUGGAAUGCGUAGAUAUUAGGAGGAAAACCGGUGGCGAAGGCGACUUUCUGGACUUGAACUGACGCUGAGGCACGAAAGCGUGGGGAGCAAACAGG
Molecule: ribosomal RNA, 404 nt
Filed under: Verrucomicrobiota bacterium
Lineage: Bacteria; Pseudomonadati; Verrucomicrobiota
Description: Verrucomicrobia bacterium partial 16S ribosomal RNA
Rfam family: Bacterial small subunit ribosomal RNA
Source: RNAcentral